RNAcentral lists this ribosomal RNA (1197 nucleotides) under Escherichia coli. RNAcentral's name for it is "partial 23S ribosomal RNA". It matches the Rfam family "Bacterial large subunit ribosomal RNA", at positions 1 to 1239 of the family's 2925-position model. Lineage: Bacteria; Pseudomonadati; Pseudomonadota; Gammaproteobacteria; Enterobacterales; Enterobacteriaceae. The record is from RNAcentral.
GGUUAAGCGACUAAGCGUACACGGUGGAUGCCCUGGCAGUCAGAGGCGAUGAAGGACGUGCUAAUCUGCGAUAAGCGUCGGUAAGGUGAUAUGAACCGUUAUAACCGGCGAUUUCCGAAUGGGGAAACCCAGUGUGUUUCGACACACUAUCAUUAACUGAAUCCAUAGGUUAAUGAGGCGAACCGGGGGAACUGAAACAUCUAAGUACCCCGAGGAAAAGAAAUCAACCGAGAUUCCCCCAGUAGCGGCGAGCGAACGGGGAGGAGCCCAGAGCCUGAAUCAGUGUGUGUGUUAGUGGAAGCGUCUGGAAAGGCGCGCGAUACAGGGUGACAGCCCCGUACACAAAAAUGCACAUACUGUGAGCUCGAUGAGUAGGGCGGGACACGUGGUAUCCUGUCUGAAUAUGGGGGGACCAUCCUCCAAGGCUAAAUACUCCUGACUGACCGAUAGUGAACCAGUACCGUGAGGGAAAGGCGAAAAGAACCCCGGCGAGGGGAGUGAAAAAGAACCUGAAACCGUGUACGUACAAGCAGUGGGAGCCUCUUUUAUGGGGUGACUGCGUACCUUUUGUAUAAUGGGUCAGCGACUUAUAUUCUGUAGCAAGGUUAACCGAAUAGGGGAGCCGAAGGGAAACCGAGUCUUAACUGGGCGUUAAGUUGCAGGGUAUAGACCCGAAACCCGGUGAUCUAGCCAUGGGCAGGUUGAAGGUUGGGUAACACUAACUGGAGGACCGAACCGACUAAUGUUGAAAAAUUAGCGGAUGACUUGUGGCUGGGGGUGAAAGGCCAAUCAAACCGGGAGAUAGCUGGUUCUCCCCGAAAGCUAUUUAGGUAGCGCCUCGUGAAUUCAUCUCCGGGGGUAGAGCACUGUUUCGGCAAGGGGGUCAUCCCGACUUACCAACCCGAUGCAAACUGCGAAUACCGGAGAAUGUUAUCACGGGAGACACACGGCGGGUGCUAACGUCCGUCGUGAAGAGGGAAACAACCCAGACCGCCAGCUAAGGUCCCAAAGUCAUGGUUAAGUGGGAAACGAUGUGGGAAGGCCCAGACAGCCAGGAUGUUGGCUUAGAAGCAGCCAUCAUUUAAAGAAAGCGUAAUAGCUCACUGGUCGAGUCGGCCUGCGCGGAAGAUGUAACGGGGCUAAACCAUGCACCGAAGCUGCGGCAGCGACACUAUGUGUUGUUGGGUAGGGGAGCGU